Molecule: non-coding RNA, 209 nt
Organism: Oryza barthii
Lineage: Eukaryota; Viridiplantae; Streptophyta; Magnoliopsida; Poales; Poaceae
Source: Rfam
AAUAAGUGCAGUUUUGCACUAUUCACGUUCAACGUUUGACCGUCCGUUUUAUUUGAAAAUUUUUUAUGAUUAGUAUUUUUAUUGCUAUUAGAUGAUAAAACAUGAAUAAUACUUUAUGUGUGACUAAAUGUUUUUAGUUUUGUCACAAAUUUUUCAAAUAAGACGGACGGUCAAACGUUGAACGUGAAUAGUGCAAAACUGCACUUAUU